UGGAUUGGUGCCUUCGGGAACUCUGACACAGGUGCUGCAUGGCUGUCGUCAGCUCGUGUCGUGAGAUGGUUGGGUUAAGUCCCGUAACGAGCGCAACCCUUGCCCUUAGUUACCAGCACGUUAUGGUGGGCACUCUAAGGAGACUGCCGGUGACAAACCGGAGGAAGGUGGGGAUGACGUCAAGUCAUCAUGGCCCUUACGGCCUGGGCUACACACGUGCUACAAUGGUCGGUACAAAGGGUUGCCAAGCCGCGAGGUGGAGCUAAUCCCAUAAAACCGAUCGUAGUCCGGAUCGCAGUCUGCAACUCGACUGCGUGAAGUCGGAAUCGCUAGUAAUCGUGAAUCAGAAUGUCACGGUGAAUACGUUCCCGGGCCUU
RNAcentral lists this ribosomal RNA (377 nucleotides) under uncultured Pseudomonas sp. RNAcentral describes it as "bacterial SSU rRNA". It matches the Rfam family "Bacterial small subunit ribosomal RNA", at positions 1007 to 1382 of the family's 1533-position model. Lineage: Bacteria; Pseudomonadati; Pseudomonadota; Gammaproteobacteria; Pseudomonadales; Pseudomonadaceae. The record is from RNAcentral.